UACGGAGGGUGCGAGCGUUAAUCGGAAUUACUGGGCGUAAAGGGCGCGUAGGCGGUUUGGUAAGUUGGGUGUGAAAGCCCCGGGCUUAACCUGGGAAUGGCACUCGAUACUGCCGGGCUAGAGUAUGGUAGAGGGAGGCGGAAUUUCCGGUGUAGCGGUGAAAUGCGUAGAUAUCGGAAGGAACACCGGUGGCGAAGGCGGCCUCCUGGACCACCACUGACGCUGAGGUGCGAAAGCGUGGGGAGCGAACAGG
This 253-nucleotide ribosomal RNA is filed under the name uncultured Nitrosococcus sp. Its description in RNAcentral is "partial 16S ribosomal RNA". It matches the Rfam family "Bacterial small subunit ribosomal RNA", at positions 524 to 776 of the family's 1533-position model. The record is from RNAcentral. Lineage: Bacteria; Pseudomonadati; Pseudomonadota; Gammaproteobacteria; Chromatiales; Chromatiaceae.